This 347-nucleotide long non-coding RNA is filed under the name Triticum aestivum (bread wheat). RNAcentral's name for it is "long non-coding RNA (TAES_LNC026554)". Lineage: Eukaryota; Viridiplantae; Streptophyta; Magnoliopsida; Poales; Poaceae. The record is from RNAcentral.
UAGACAGGGCAAAGUUGCGUCGCGUAGUUCUGCAUCUGAGAGGGGAGAGAAAGAGAGAGAGCAUGGGAUCCUGUAUGUAAUGCCUGGUCUGGAGUCCGAACUGGUGGUAGUCUGUAGCGUCGAUUGAUCUUGAAUCACUUCUGUAGCGUCGAUUGAUCUUGAAUCACUGCUGAAUUGAAGCUGGAAACUUGAUCGUGUAGCCAAUUCCAAUCUUUUCCGUGUCAAUUUUGCGAAAUUUUGCCGGUUCUUGCCUUGAUCCCCUUGUUCGUCUGUACAUUUGUUCCCACAAUUUCACCUGGUUAGGUGUUCUUGGGGGCGAUUUGGCAAUAACUUGGUUCAGUGAGGUG